Molecule: ribosomal RNA, 429 nt
Filed under: Kytococcus sedentarius
Lineage: Bacteria; Bacillati; Actinomycetota; Actinomycetes; Micrococcales; Kytococcaceae
Description: bacterial SSU rRNA
Rfam family: Bacterial small subunit ribosomal RNA
Source: RNAcentral
CAAGUCGAACGGUGAAGCGGGUGCUUGCACUCGUGGAUCAGUGGCGAACGGGUGAGUAACACGUGAGUAACCUGCCCUCCACUCUGGGAUAAGCGCUGGAAACGGCGUCUAAUACUGGAUAUGACCGACCCUCGCAUGGGGUGUUGGUGGAAAGAUUUAUCGGUGGUGGAUGGACUCGCGGCCUAUCAGCUUGUUGGUGGGGUAAUGGCCUACCAAGGCGACGACGGGUAGCCGGCCUGAGAGGGCGACCGGCCACACUGGGACUGAGACACGGCCCAAACUCCUACGGGAGGCAGCAGUGGGGAAUAUUGCACAAUGGGCGAAAGCCUGAUGCAGCGACGCCGCGUGAGGGAUGACGGCCUUCGGGUUGUAAACCUCUUUCAGCAGGGAAGAAGCUUUUGUGACGGUACCUGCAGAAGAAGCACCGGC